This is a long non-coding RNA of Gossypium raimondii (Peruvian cotton), 1928 nucleotides long. RefSeq lists it as uncharacterized. NCBI's taxonomy places the organism in Eukaryota, Viridiplantae, Streptophyta, Magnoliopsida, Malvales, Malvaceae. The transcript has 5 exons. The record is from RefSeq and is a predicted model, not a curated record.
CCCAAAACCGAUUCCCCCCAUCCUCAGAAAUCUCUUCUUUUUUCCCCAUUUUAAUUUUCCCAAACCAUUUCUACCCUACCCCGAUUCCCUUUAUUUUCCCCCCAAUUUCCCCAAAUUGGCAGCCCUCUGCAUCUCCUCAAAGGGUACAGAUUCAUGGAUACCCCACGCCACCACAAUCUGCAUUUCCUCAAACGGAGUUUAUAGAGAGGUGAGACCAAGUAAUUUUGGGUUACAACAGAGAAACCAAAGUAAAAAAAUGGGUGGAUAUAGAUGGGAUCUUGGGUAACCGAGAUUCGAAGCUAGGCAAAUCAAGCAUACCCAGGAGACGACAAUGGGUUAAAAGAAGAGAAACAUGGCUGGUUAUACUUGGUGUCAUCCUCCAUGCCGUUUACAUUGGAUGGUUUACGUGCUGAUAAAUUUUUCGAGCCAGAUUUGGAAGGGAGUUUCAGAGCACCCUUUGCGUUAAACUCUUCGUUAACCGUCUUUACUUUCCAAGUUGAUAUAUUUUUAUGAUUUUUUUUCUUAUUAGCAUGUAGCCUUUCAUAUUAAAAAGUAAAUUUAUAAAAUCUUGUCUACUUUUUUAAUGUGUAGUUUUCCCUCAAUUGUUAAAUUUAAUCAUGUGUUUACUUAUAUAGAUAUAUAUGAUUUUAACAAAUAUCCAACUUUUGAUUGUAUUUUCUUUUUAAUUGGAAAUUUAAAAAAUAUAUAAAAAAUAUGAAAAUAUUUUACUAAUAUGGUACACACUAGUACGAGCUUUAUUUCCUAAAAGCUUAAGCAAAUGUAAAAAAAUCACUUCUCUUAACAUCCGUGUAUUAUGUUCUUUGCAGAAAUUCAUAUGUUGGCAAUCUCUCUUUUCUAUGAAAUAGAGUAGAAGCUUAAGCAGUGUCGGGAGGCUUGUUCAUAUUGAUUUUGGUUUCAUCUUGGAAACAUCACCUGGUGGAAAUAUGCGGUUCAAGAGUGCACAUUUCAAGUUGAGCCAUGAGAUGACUCAAUUACUAGACCCAUCGGGAGUUAUGAAAAGUGAAACCUGGGACAACUUUGUAAGUGCUUGUGUUCAGUUGCUGAGGAAAUUGCAAGGUCAGGAGGGGGAUAUAGUGGGAGAAGAAGCAUCAAUGACACCAAAUAAAAUUUUUCAGCUCUUCACUCAGGUUUCUUUUUUACUUGAACUUGUACACACGCACAUAUCACCUUAUGCAAAAGACACUCUAAUAGCCCUUCUUUCAGAUCAUUGAGUCCCUUUCAGCUGUUCCAUCCCCUGAACUUGCAUUAAGGUUGUACCUGCAAUGUGCUGAGGUAAUCUUGAGUCUUGACUUAAACCAACUCUGCAUAACAGUCAUUGGUUAAAUAGUGAAUUGAACCCUGAAAAUUAUUUUAGAUGAUAACAAAUUUUAUUGAACUUCAAGAGAUGCCAUUUUUCUAAUUGAUAGUUGGGAAAGGGCAUAUUGAGAUAAAUAAUGUUGCUCACGAGAGUGCAAGGUUUCUGAUGGAACAGGUGCUUACAAGAAUAAAUAGAAUUAUUUGUGACAUUCUUGGGCUGUUACCAAUGUUCCAUUAAUUUAUUAUGUUGAUUCCAGGCAUUAGGGAUCAAUAAUUUUAUUUUAAGAUGAUGCGAAAGGGGUGCUAUCAUCAUAAACCCUGAUAGUGUGGCAGAUGCUUUCCUUGCCAGCACCUUGCGUUACAUUCAAUUCCAAAAACAAAAAGGCGGUGUAGUGGGUGAGAAAUUCAAUUCCGUUAAACUGUAAAUUGUUGAGUCAUGUAAAGAAGUAAUGCAUGGCAGUUAGAGAUGUAAAUAGGCAUUUAUUCUGAAUUUGGGUUUCAUAUUUGCUUGAUUAUAUCUUUUAUUAAACUGUAAAUUAUUGAGUCAUGUAAAUUGUAUUAUACCUUUUAUUACCAAGAUUUACUUGAUUAAGAAAAUGCAUUAUAUUUUU